CGAAAUUUUAUAGGAGAUCUUUUGACUCAUCCAUCAUACAGUAUAGUCAAAGGUUAUCAAGGCUAAUUGAGAAUUUGAUGUCUGUUCUUAGAAGUAUGCAUGCAAGGCAAUUUAAAUGAGGUACUGAAACACCAAUAAAAAUGUGAAAGGCCUUAGUUUAGGCUCCUUAGGCAUGCCUAAACUAAAGGGUAGGUUUAAAAUUUUGCUCCACUUACUGUCUGUUGCUUUGUCUCAAGUUUCAAAGGAGGGCUAUUUAUUUGCGUUGAUGUAGGUCUUAAUGUAGUUUUAUGUUUGGAAUAUUGGAAAUUGUUAAAGGGGAGAGGAGUUAGUAAGGUUUGAAUUGUGACCUCUUGCAGUCGGGGGUUGACAGGCAUUCUUAAUAUAUUACUAUUAAUGAUAUAAUUUUUCUAAAUUAAAAA
RNAcentral lists this unclassified non-coding RNA (419 nucleotides) under Hevea brasiliensis (rubber tree). Lineage: Eukaryota; Viridiplantae; Streptophyta; Magnoliopsida; Malpighiales; Euphorbiaceae. The record is from RNAcentral.